UACGUAGGGUGCAAGCGUUAAUCGGAAUUACUGGGCGUAAAGCGUGCGCAGGCGGUUUUGUAAGUCUGUCGUGAAAUCCCCGGGCUCAACCUGGGAAUGGCGAUGGAGACUGCAAGGCUAGAAUCUGGCAGAGGGGGGUAGAAUUCCACGUGUAGCAGUGAAAUGCGUAGAGAUGUGGAGGAACACCGAUGGCGAAGGCAGCCCCCUGGGUCAAGAUUGACGCUCAUGCACGAAAGCGUGGGGAGAAAACAGG
This 253-nucleotide ribosomal RNA is filed under the name uncultured bacterium. RNAcentral's name for it is "partial 16S ribosomal RNA". It matches the Rfam family "Bacterial small subunit ribosomal RNA", at positions 524 to 776 of the family's 1533-position model. The record is from RNAcentral.